AUUGAACGCUGGCGGCAUGCUUUACACAUGCAAGUCGAACGGCAGCGCGGGGGCAACCCUGGCGGCGAGUGGCGAACGGGUGAGUAAUAUAUCGGAACGUACCCAGAAGUGGGGGAUAACGUAGCGAAAGUUACGCUAAUACCGCAUACGAUCUACGGAUGAAAGUGGGGGACCUUCGGGCCUCAUGCUUUUGGAGCGGCCGAUAUCUGAUUAGCUAGUUGGUGAGGUAAAGGCUCACCAAGGCGACGAUCAGUAGCUGGUCUGAGAGGACGACCAGCCACACUGGAACUGAGACACGGUCCAGACUCCUACGGGAGGCAGCAGUGGGGAAUUUUGGACAAUGGGGGCAACCCUGAUCCAGCAAUGCCGCGUGAGUGAAGAAGGUUUUCGGACUGUAAAAUCCUUUUCUGUGUGACGAGAGUGGACGGUAGCACAGGAAUAAGUCUCGGCUAACUACGUGCCAGCAGCCGCGGU
Molecule: ribosomal RNA, 474 nt
Filed under: uncultured bacterium
Lineage: Bacteria
Description: bacterial SSU rRNA
Rfam family: Bacterial small subunit ribosomal RNA
Source: RNAcentral